GGGGUGGCGGCAGCUACACAUGCAGUCGAGCGGAUGACGGGAGCUUGCUCCUUGAUUCAGCGGCGGACGGGUGAGUAAUGCCUAGGAAUCUGCCUGGUAGUGGGGGACAACGUUUCGAAAGGAACGCUAAUACCGCAUACGUCCUACGGGAGAAAGCAGGGGACCUUCGGGCCUUGCGCUAUCAGAUGAGCCUAGGUCGGAUUAGCUAGUUGGUGAGGUAAUGGCUCACCAAGGCGACGAUCCGUAACUGGUCUGAGAGGAUGAUCAGUCACACUGGAACUGAGACACGGUCCAGACUCCUACGGGAGGCAGCAGUGGGGAAUAUUGGACAAUGGGCGAAAGCCUGAUCCAGCCAUGCCGCGUGUGUGAAGAAGGUCUUCGGAUUGUAAAGCACUUUAAGUUGGGAGGAAGGGCAGUAAGUUAAUACCUUGCUGUUUUGACGUUACCGACAGAAUAAGCACCGGCUAACUCUGUGCCAGCAGCCGCGGUAAUACAGAGGGUGCAAGCGUUAAUCGGAAUUACUGGGCGUAAAGCGCGCGUAGGUGGUUCGUUAAGUUGGAUGUGAAAGCCCCGGGCUCAACCUGGGAACUGCAUCCAAAACUGGCGAGCUAGAGUACGGUAGAGGGUGGUGGAAUUUCCUGUGUAGCGGUGAAAUGCGUAGAUAUAGGAAGGAACACCAGUGGCGAAGGCGACCACCUGGACUGAUACUGACACUGAGGUGCGAAAGCGUGGGGAGCAAACAGGAUUAGAUACCCUGGUAGUCCACGCCGUAACGAUGUCAACUAGCCUUUGGAAUCCUUGAGAUUUUAGUGGCGCACUAACGCAUUAAGUUGACCGCCUGGGGAGUACGGCCGCCACGGUUAAAACUCAGAUGGAUUUGACGGGGGCCCGGCACAAACGGCUGGGAGCAUGUGGUUUUAAUUCGAAGCAAUCGCGAAAGAACCUUACCACGCCUUGAUCAUGCAGAGGACUGUCCAGAGAUGAGAUUGGUGGCUUUCUA
Molecule: ribosomal RNA, 1000 nt
Filed under: Pseudomonas putida
Lineage: Bacteria; Pseudomonadati; Pseudomonadota; Gammaproteobacteria; Pseudomonadales; Pseudomonadaceae
Description: bacterial SSU rRNA
Rfam family: Bacterial small subunit ribosomal RNA
Source: RNAcentral